UAAGAAAAACAACUCUAAACGACUACAAACUAACAGUAACACUAAACGUAUUUUGCAGUGCAACCCUGCUUUCGGGCUACGGAGAAAAACGUAUUGCAGCAGGUCUUUUCGUCAACGAAUUUGACUUUCAAACCAAAAAGUUAUGGCAUGGAUAUAUUUACAAGCUUCGUUUUAGAGAAUUUGGCAGUAUGUCCAACCGGCCUCACAACCGCAGACCACGUGUAACCAUGCCAGCCCAGGACAUCCACAUCCAGAUCACCUGUGGGAUCGUCUGAGAACAGCCACCCGGACAGCUGAUGAAACUGAAGAGUAUUUCUGUCUGCAAUAAAGCAGACACUUAUUCUAAUUGGCUGUGCUUGACUCCCAAGUGGGUGGGGCUAUGCCCUCCCAGGCCCACCCAUGUCUAC
Molecule: long non-coding RNA, 407 nt
Organism: Oncorhynchus tshawytscha (Chinook salmon)
Lineage: Eukaryota; Metazoa; Chordata; Actinopteri; Salmoniformes; Salmonidae
Source: Ensembl